AACGAACGCUGGCGGCGUGGCUAAGGCAUGCAAGUCGAACGGACCCUUACGAGGGGUAACCUGAGUUUGGGUUAGUGGCGAACGGGUGAGGAAUGCAUGGAUAACGUACCCCAGACACGGGGAUAGCGGCGGGACGCAGGUCUCUUUAGCGAAAGUGCCGGUAAUACCCGAUGACCCCGUAGGAUCGCAUGAUCCAGCGGGCAAAGCUCCGACGGUCUGUGAGCGAUCCAUGCCCAUCAGCUAGUUGGU
RNAcentral lists this ribosomal RNA (249 nucleotides) under uncultured bacterium. RNAcentral describes it as "partial 16S ribosomal RNA". It matches the Rfam family "Bacterial small subunit ribosomal RNA", at positions 29 to 253 of the family's 1533-position model. The record is from RNAcentral.